Molecule: ribosomal RNA, 253 nt
Filed under: uncultured bacterium
Lineage: Bacteria
Description: partial 16S ribosomal RNA
Rfam family: Bacterial small subunit ribosomal RNA
Source: RNAcentral
UACGUAGGAGGCAAGCGUUGUCCGGAAUUACUGGGCGUAAAGCGCGUGUAGGCGGCAGGCCAAGUCUGUGGUGAAAUCGCUCGGCUCAACUGGGCGGGGUCCAUGGAAACUGGUCAGCUGGAGGACGGUAGAGGUGAGUGGAAUUCCCGGUGUAGUGGUGAAAUGCGUAGAUAUCUGGAGGAACACCGGUGGCGAAGGCGGCAUCCUGGACCGAGAUUGACGCUGAGGCGCGAAAGCCAGGGGAGCAAACGGG